GGAAGGAUCAUUAACACGUUAUCCACGUAUCACCAAGACAAAUGUUAUGUGCUACCGGAGGGGCAAACUGAACAUGUGCAUGCUUUAGCUAAGGAAAGGGCUUGACAGGUGAGAGCAAUCUCGCUGAUCGCUCGGCUAGAUGUGCCACUCUUGCUGACGGGCUUGCUUUUUGGCGGCUCCGAUGGCGGGUACUGUUGUAUUUGUUCUGUAAGGCAACUUCUGAUUGGGAGAGCGGUUCCUUGUAAACUCUCUUUCAGGAACAUUCUUUACUAUUUUCACCAAUUUUUGCUAGUUGACUUUUAUAUGUUGUUCUUUGUCUCGGCAAGGUUCACACGUUUAAUUAUUUGAACGUUAAAAAUACAACUCUUAGCAAUGGAUAUCUAGGUUCUCGCAACGAUGAAGAACGCAGCGAAAUGCGAUACGUAAUGCGAAUUGCAGAAUUCAGUGAAUCAUCAAAUCUUUGAACGCAAAUUGCGCUCUUGGGUAGCCCUAGGAGCACGCCUCUCUCAGUAUCGGUUCAACCAUCUCUCAGCAGCGCUAUUGCUUUUUGUAAUCGGCGUGUUGGCUGGAUAAUGAGAGUCUGCUUCGCGGCAGUCUCUUUAAGUACAUUGAGCAAUUUUAACUAACGAUCAGUUUUCGCUUCGGCGGAAUUGUCUGUUUUCGACUGUCGUUGGGUAGUGACGUGAAUAUUGGCCCUUGUGGUCUAACUUUUACGUGUAUCUGCCUAGCGAUAAUUAAAAGUUGGGAGCAGGUGAACGAACGACCUAGUUUAAUUUUGUGUGAGUAAACCAUAUGAUUUAAUUAAAAUUUUAAUUUUAAUGAAUCUGAAUUUUGAUCUGAGAUGAAGCGAGACAACCCCCUGAAUUUAAGCAUAUUAAUAAGGGGAGGAAAAGAAACUAACAAGGAUUCCCCCAGUAACGGCGAGUGAAGCGGGAAGAGCUCAAUUUGAAAAUCGAUUUCCUAAACGGGACAUCGAAUUGUAGCCUAGAGACGUACUAUCAGCUGAAACCUGGGUAUAAGUUCUUUGGAAUGAGGCAUCAUAGAGGGUGAGAAUCCCGUAUAUUACCCAAAGCUUUCAGCGUACGAUGUAUGUUCAUCGAGUCGAGUUGUUUGGGAUUGCAGCUCUAAAUGGGUGGUAAGUUUCAUCUAAAGCUAAAUAAUGGCGAGAGACCGAUAGCGAACAAGUACCGUGAGGGAAAGAUGAAAAGAACUUUGAAAAGAGAGUUAAAAGUACUUGAAAUUGCUAAGAGGGAAGCGCUAGAAACUAGUGAUACGCUGGGUCAAUCGCUUUCGGCCCCUCUAGUUUGCGUAAGUAAUGGGCAACCUUGCUUGCGUAAACGAAAGGGUGGUUGGGAGUUUAUGAUUUAGUGUCAGUCAAGAUCAAUUCGAAUUGUGGGAGAAGGUAGCGAGAAAGGUAGGUGAGCAAUCACUGUUAUAUUCUUGUUACUCUACCUCGGCUUGGAUUGAGGAAGUAAUGGUGCGCCGCUUGCGGCUUGGUCCUGCGUUUUUGUUGUCCUAUUUGUUUUUAUAGCAAUGCUAUGCUGAUGAAGAAAGGCAAUACUGGGCGUAGUGAUUCUAUGUGCUAUCACGAUCUUGUACGAAAUAGUUUCUAUCGACCCGUCUUGAAACACGGACCAAGGAGUCUAACAUCUAUGCAAGUAUUUGGGUGCAAAACCCUGAUGCGCAAUGAAAGUAAAGGCAGCUUCGGCUGCUGAGGUAGGAAUCCCGCAAGGGAGGCACUAUCGACCGAUCAUCACUUGUGAAAGAUUUGAGUAAGAGCAUAUCUGUUGGGACCCGAAAGAUGGUGAUCUAUGCCUGAACAGGGUGAAGCCAGGGGAAACUCUGGUGGAGGCUCGUAGCGAUACUGACGUGCAAAUCGUUCGUCUGAUUUGGGUAUAGGGGCGAAAGACUAAUCGAACCAUCUAGUAGCUGGUUCCCUC
This 1940-nucleotide unclassified non-coding RNA is filed under the name uncultured fungus. RNAcentral's name for it is "sequence contains 18S rRNA gene, ITS1, 5.8S rRNA gene, ITS2, 28S rRNA gene". The stretch from base 833 to 1940 matches the Rfam family "Eukaryotic large subunit ribosomal RNA", at positions 1 to 961 of the family's 3401-position model. Lineage: Eukaryota; Fungi. The record is from RNAcentral.